Molecule: long non-coding RNA, 2035 nt
Organism: Apis dorsata (giant honeybee)
Lineage: Eukaryota; Metazoa; Arthropoda; Insecta; Hymenoptera; Apidae
Exons: 4
Source: RefSeq, a predicted model, not a curated record
AAAAUAAAAUGAAUAUAACAUUUAUAUAGAGUUAUAAUAAUUGAUUUUGCUUUUACUUGCAAUGUUUAAAAACAUUUCCCGACGGAGAAAUGCAAAACAACGGUAUAUUUAUUCUUAGUUGCAAAACUACAACGGGAUAUGGGCGUUGAACUUGUCCAUUGGUUAAGAAUAGACAUUGCGUCGCAGAAUUUCUAUUCGGGACUUACCUGAAGAGAAAAAUAUUGAUUUUCAAUAUAAUUACGUAAAUGGCCAUUUUCCAUGAGAAGAAAUCAAUAUCAUCAUAAGAAUCAAUCAACAUUGCCAAAAAUUCUCAGAACAAUGGUAAAGAAGCGCUAAGGAAAGAUGAGAGCCCUGGUGAGAGAACGCCUAUGCCACUCGACCGUUCACUUUUUCUAAAAUUGGUCACAGACAGCCGGAUCUUGCCUAAGGAAAGCAGUAAAUCGCGACGAUCCUCUCUUCUGGAAGAGAUCUGCAGGGUGGGGCACAGUACAUUGCCAGAGAAAAUAAAUAACUCAUCCAAUAUAUAAUAUAUAUCAAUGAUAUCAAUGAUGAUGAUGAUGAUAAUAUAAAUGAUGACAUCAAGAAUGGAUAUCUACAAGGACAAAGGAAACUAAUUUAGGCUAAGGAUUAUUUUUUAAUAGAAUAAACACUUAUAUUAGUUGUAUAUACUUGCUUAGUAAUAUAUAGAGUGCCUAUAACGUAUAUUUCUGAGAACAAAUAAAUCACAUAUAAUUUACAAAAAGGAACUUGACGCGGCGCUUAAUAUUGCUCUUAUCGUCGGAUAAUGACAAGGUAUUUAUUAUCUAUAGGCAUACGAAUUUUUCAUUCACUUUUUUCUUUCCGAAGAAUCAACAUUAUGAACGUGUACAUCUGUGAAAGAAACUUCAAGUUUAUCGUAUUUCUUUUUAAUUAAUUCCAAUUAACAUAGGCCUUAUUCAUUGUUAUCGGACAAUAGAAAAAGAACAUGAAGAUAAGAAUAUAUUAUUAUAUCAUCUUUCUUUUUAAUUCUCCAUGCACCAUCGAGAAAAUUAUACACCGGGCAGUGAAAUACGUAGAAAAAUUGGCAAAAAUUUUGAAAAUUUAAUAAUAAUAUUGUUCCUUAUUCUCGAACAAUAUUUUUAGCCAUUAAAGAUUAAUCUUUCACAUGUCAUUUUUUUCCUUAAACAGUGUACAAAGAAUAACGUUUCAUGCCAGAAACACGAGUAUUUCGAUGAAUUCGAUAGGAUACGUCUUCGAUCUUAAAUUUAAUCUCUUUCUCAUCGUUUAUCUGCAAGUUUAAUACGAAGUGACCAAAAUAUCGCAACUCCAGAGUAUUAUUAUCUACGAUAAAUUUAUUAAAGAUUUCUAUUUGCUCUAGCUGAACUUUCACGGUGUACCAAUAAUUUGUAUCGAAUACUAUUGUCUAGUUUAUGUCAAUUCAACGUAUGCCUAACAAUACGUCAAUUUGGAAUUAUUUCAUUCCUCAACAAAUUCAUAAACACCUAAUUAUUCGAGAUAUUUUUAAAUAUUUAUUGUUCUGAGACGCACAGACGAAAGUACAGAGCCUGAGAACCAUCAAAAAUCCAUGAAUUCACACGAUAGCGAGACAUUUCAUUUUUUUUUUUCUUUUUUUUUUCGUCGUCGAUCCUAUGACUACGAUAUAAAACGGCACGACGUCUACAUCUAAAAACUUUUAUCUAUGUACAAUAAACGCUUGGCGGGAUCCUCGUGAAAAGAAACGUCGAUCGAAAUCGGUCGUCGUAAUUCGAGGUUCGCCGUAAGACUUCUAUCGCUGAUUUUUUUCAGGAUCGAUCAGCGCUAUAACUAAAAUUUACAUCUAGAUUAUUUCAAGUUAUUUGCAUUUGAGUUGUCGUUUGGAAGGUUUCCAUCAAAUAGGUUCGAGCGAAAAAUUUCUCGUCAUUUUUUUUCUUUCUCCAUUCAACUUUAAAACACGACUCUCGUUCUACAUUCCUGUAUGGCGAUAUUAAAACUAUUCGUCCACAUAUACGAUUUGAAAGAAACGUUUCGAAAAAUAUAAAUGUCCAUAAAAAAAAAA